RNAcentral lists this ribosomal RNA (440 nucleotides) under uncultured bacterium. RNAcentral's name for it is "partial 16S ribosomal RNA". It matches the Rfam family "Bacterial small subunit ribosomal RNA", at positions 338 to 795 of the family's 1533-position model. The record is from RNAcentral.
CCUACGGGCGGCAGCAGUAGGGAAUAUUGCUCAAUGGGGGAAACCCUGAAGCAGCAACGCCGCGUGGAGGAUGAAGGUUUUAUGAUUGUAAACUCCUUUUUUUAGAGAAGAUUAUGACGGUAUCUAACGAAUAAGCACCGGCUAACUCCGUGCCAGCAGCCGCGGUGAUACGGCGGGUGCAAGCGUUACUCGGAAUCACUGGGCGUAAAGAGGGCGUAGGCGGGUUAAUAAGUCAGAUGUGAAAUCCUGUAGCUUAACUACAGAACUGCAUUUGAAACUGUUACUCUGGAGUGUGGGAGAGGUAGGUGGAAUGCGUGGUGUAGGGGUAAAAUCCGUAGAGAUCAAGCGGAAUACUCAUUGCGAAGGCGACCUGCUGGAACAUUACUGACGCUGAUGCACGAAAGCGUGGGGAGCAAACAGGAUUAGAUACCCGUGUAGUC